GAUUAACGCUGGCGGCGUGCAUAACACAUGCAAGUCGAACGAUGAAACUUAAAUGAUUUCUUCGGAAUGAACUUAAGUGGAUUAGUGGCGGACGGGUGAGUAACGCGUGAGUAACCUGCCUUACACAAGGGGAUAGCCGUUGGAAACGACGAAUAAUACCCUAUGAAACUAUCACUUCGCAUGAAGCGAUAGUCAAAGUGUUAGCGGUGUAAGAUGGACUUGCGUCUGAUUAGCUAGUUGGUGAGAAAAAAGCCCACCAAGGCAACGAUCAGUAGCCGGCUUGGGAGAGUGUACGGCCACAUUGGAACUGAGACACGGCCCAGACUCCUACGGGAGGCAGCAGUGGGGAAUUUUGCACAAUGGGGGAAGCCCUGAUGCAGCGGCGCCGCGUGAUUUAGAAGGCCUUCGGGUUGUAAAAAUCUUUUGUAUAGGAAGAAAAUGACAGUACUAUACGAAUAAGGUCCGGCUAAUUACGUG
This 477-nucleotide ribosomal RNA is filed under the name uncultured bacterium. RNAcentral's name for it is "partial 16S ribosomal RNA". It matches the Rfam family "Bacterial small subunit ribosomal RNA", at positions 28 to 507 of the family's 1533-position model. The record is from RNAcentral.